AACAGAACCCCCAAGCGUUGUCCGGAAUUAUUGGGCGUAAAGCGCGCGCAGGCGGUCUUUUAAGUCUGAUGUGAAAGCCCACGGCUCAACCGUGGAGGGUCAUUGGAAACUGGGAGACUUGAGUACAGAAGAGGAGAGUGGAAUUCCACGUGUAGCGGUGAAAUGCGUAGAUAUGUGGAGGAACACCAGUGGCGAAGGCGGCUCUCUGGUCUGUAACUGACGCUGAGGCGCGAAAGCGUGGGGAGCAAACAGG
This 253-nucleotide unclassified non-coding RNA is filed under the name uncultured Bacillaceae bacterium. RNAcentral's name for it is "contains 16S-23S intergenic spacer region". It matches the Rfam family "Bacterial small subunit ribosomal RNA", at positions 524 to 776 of the family's 1533-position model. The record is from RNAcentral. Lineage: Bacteria; Bacillati; Bacillota; Bacilli; Caryophanales; Bacillaceae.